Molecule: ribosomal RNA, 465 nt
Filed under: uncultured bacterium
Lineage: Bacteria
Description: partial 16S ribosomal RNA
Rfam family: Bacterial small subunit ribosomal RNA
Source: RNAcentral
GACGAACGCUGGCGGCGUGCUUAACACAUGCCAGUCGAACGGAAAGGCCCCUUCGGGGGUCCUCGAGUGGCGAACAGGUGAGUAACACGUGAGUAACCUGCCCUUGACUUCGGGAUAACUUCAGGAAACUGGGGCUAAUACCGGAUAGGAAUCCUUGCUGCAUGGUGGGGGUUGGAAAGCUUCGGCGGUUUUGGAUGGACUCGCGGCUUAUCAGCUUGUUGGUGGGGUAGUGGCCUACCAAGGCUUUGACGGGUAGCCGGCCUGAGAGGGCGACCGGCCACAUUGGGACUGAGAGACGGCCCAGACUCCUACGGGAGGCAGCAGUGGGGAAUAUUGCACAAUGGGCGGAAGCCUGAUGCAGCAACGCCGCGUGCGGGAUGACGGCCUUCGGGUUGUAAACCGCUUUCAGCAGGGGCGAAGCUUGUGGUGACGGUACCUGCAGAAGAAGCACCGGCUAACUACGUG